UACAGAGGUCUCAAGCGUUGUUCGGAUUCAUUGGGCGUAAAGGGUGCGUAGGCGGAUCUUUAAGUCAGGGGUGAAAUCCUGGAGCUCAACUCCAGAACUGCCUUUGAUACUGGGGAUCUCGAGUCCGGAAGAGGUGAGUGGAACUCCGAGUGUAGAGGUGAAAUUCGUAGAUAUUCGGAAGAACACCAGUGGCGAAGGCGGCUCACUGGUCCGGCACUGACGCUGAGGUGCGAAAGCGUGGGGAGCAAACAGG
This 253-nucleotide ribosomal RNA is filed under the name uncultured bacterium. RNAcentral describes it as "partial 16S ribosomal RNA". It matches the Rfam family "Bacterial small subunit ribosomal RNA", at positions 524 to 776 of the family's 1533-position model. The record is from RNAcentral.